Molecule: long non-coding RNA, 3863 nt
Filed under: Homo sapiens (human)
Lineage: Eukaryota; Metazoa; Chordata; Mammalia; Primates; Hominidae
Description: long non-coding RNA NONHSAT193398.1
Source: RNAcentral
GUAAAUGGUAGAUAUGGAAUUUGACUGCUAGCCUGAAGAUUGUCUAAUGAACCAAGAAUAAUUACUUGUUUGAGAAGUCUGGAAGUAGUCUGUGAUAUGAAAUGUCACCAAACUAUGAUGCAACUCUGCAAAGAAGAAGAUACUUUAACAAUGAAUCAUUCUUGUGAGAAAAAAAAAAAAAUGGUGGUGGUAGAUUCAGUUCUAAAAUCUCACCAGAUGACACAAUCUUCUACCUCGUGAAAUACUGCAGAACUUAAAAAGAGAAAAGAAAAGAAGACCUCUUUCCUCCUACAGGGAAAGAAUGCAGAGCCUCCCAAGGGUAAGAAAUACUUUGUUUGCGUAUCUGUCAUAUACAUUCUCAGCACUUUCACCCACUUGGGUUUCCUGUCAUAAGCUUUUCUUUAGAUUGAGCAACUAAAGCUCAGAUAAAUCAGAAGAAUUGCCUCAAAGAUGCACAGAUCAUAUGUUUUAUUGUUGGACCCCAUACGAGGGACUAUCAUAGGGUUUAGUGCUGGACCCCAUACAAGGGACUAUCAUAGGGUUUGUUAUCUGUGUGAAAUGAGAGUACAUAUCUGUGUGAAUUUGAUCGGGUUACAUGCAUAGAAUCAAGUUGUGUUUACCUAUAUGCCUAUUAAACCCAUUCCAGUGUAGGUUUCAAUUGAGUAUUGAGUAGUGAAAUCUAAAGAAGAUGCAUGUGUUAUUUUCUGGUGGAAUAAUUUUAUUUUCCCUUUGUAGAUUGGCAAAAAAAAAUGAUGAGAACAGCUUAAAUUUUGUUUUGGGGAAAAUCUUUUAACAAAAAGUUGUUGUCAUGAAUUUUGUUGCUUUAUGUAUCUAUAUAUCUAUAUCUAUAUCUAUAUCUAUUACUUCUUCAAGGUCCUUUAGGGACUCAACCAUUUUUCAAUAACAGAUUUUUAGCAGUAAAGUUGCAUAUAUUCCCUAUAUCAUCCCUUCCAUGAAAGGAAGUGGAUCCUAAACAACUUGGGUUGUAGGAAUGAUAAAUCCCUAAUGUUUAUGUGACUCAGCAGGUAGGGGAUAAAGGCUUAAUUUUUGAAGGUAUAUUAAGGUAAGUAAUUAGGGAACCAUUAUGUGCUAGAACAGUAUAUCUCCAAAGACAAUCUACUUCUACUUAGCUUUACUGACCUGCCCAGUAAAUUCCACAGAAGCUGAUGGCGUAAUCCAAAUCCAGCCUAUUCCAAGAAACACAUUUAGAUAUAAUUUUAGUUAGAGUCAUUGUUGAGUUUGAAAGAGAUGAACACAUUUCCCUUCAUCUUGAAAUGUUCCCUUUUGGAAAAUCUAAUUCUCCCCAAGAAAAUGAUUGGAUACCUAAAUCAUCUUUGAAAAGUAAAAUCUUUCCCUAGAUCUUAUCUCAUCUUUUAAAGCUCAUGUGUUUGUCUCUGACAAUGCUAUAAAUGCAUUUUCAAGAGAGGAAUUUGUCCUACUCUUUAAAUUACUUUUAUGAAUAGUCAAAGUGAUUUUCCUUUAGUGUUCAAACUUCCUGCAGAUGAUUAGUCCACACUUCCAGAAACCAAAAUAUAUAAAGACUUCUUCCUAAAUUAGUCAUAUAACUUUAUAUUGGGCAAUAAGUGAAUACUGUGCAAUUUUGCUUUGUCAGUAAUCUGACAAAUACUGAAAAAUACUGAUGUAUAUCAAGAUUCAACUUCUGAGUGCCCAGUGGCUUUCUAAACUGAUCAGUUAAAAAGUUUUGUCAGACGCCUGUAGUCCCAGCCACUCUGGAGGCUGAGGCAGGAGAAGGGAGUGAACCCGGGAGGCGGAGCUUGCAAUGAGCUGAGAUGGCGCCACUGCACUCCAGCCUGGGCCACAGAGGGAGACUCCGUCUCAAAAAUAAAAAAAUUAAAAAAAAUUUUUAAAAAAGUUUUGUCAUCCAAUGACAACAAGUUUAAAAAUAUUUUAAGAGAAGUAUGAAUAAGUAAAUACUGUAUCAGAUUGAUUAUAAAUUAUAGAAAAGUUAAAAUAGGUCAGAUUUUUCAUUCUUCGUUUUCAUAGUUUGAGAUUCUUAGAUUAUUAAAAUAGAAAGGAACUGGUUUUCUAAAGGAACUGGAUUCAAAGUCACUUCUAUCUUAUGAACCCAUUGUAUACAUGACAUCUGAUGAAGAAGACCAAUAUGAAAAGCAGGGGAGAGUCUCUGGUUGAAUCAGAAAGCUCCUGGCCACCACAAAACUUGUAACUUGCUCCUUGUCCUGGUGGCUCAAGAAGUUUGUGAGGUAUAGUUUGAAAACUACUGAUCUAGUCAAACAGUACUUUAUAGAGGGAUAAAAAAAAAAUUCUGGAGAUGUGGCAUGAACUGAAUUAUUUACGAUCACACAUAGAAGUGAAGGCAAAAUUUAAAAUGGAAAUCAGCACACCUUUAAAACAGCCUUCUCCAUGGAAACAUCCCUGAGAAAUUUUCACCCUUACUGAUCAUUUUGUCUUCCCAUCUUCUCAGCAAACACAUCAUUUAUUGGCUAUGUCCACAGUAACAAUGUAAUUUGUGAAAUGUUUCAGGUCAGUGAAGUAAUCUGGGAGAAUUGAAAAUGCUUUGAGGGUAGAACUACAUAGCACAGCUUUUUGAGUCCCAUAGAGUGCUUUUGGUCUAUAUAAACAAACAAUGGAUAAAAGGAAGAUAAGACCAACAAUACAGUAUUAUACAGUAUUGCUUUGGAGGCAAUAUAUAGCACAGAACACUUUUAUACAGAACGUGACAAGUGUUUCAAAGGAAAGGAUUUCAUGCAAAAGUAAACUUGAUAAAGUCUGCACUAAACAAAGUUAAACAGUAAUGAUUGCCUCCUCUGAGUUUUGAAUAUGCUAAUGUAUAUUAAGAAUCUGCAAUAAUGGGAAUUUUUCGAAUUUUCCAUAGAGCCUUAAAAAUAUGAUAGAUAUUGCAUGCCUCAAGUUCAUGGUCUGCAGAAUAUAUUUAGUAAAAUUUAAGAAAGGAACAAGACUAGAAGUCAGAAGUUUGAUGUUUUGAACUCAAACCCUGUGCCACAAAAACUUUGGAAAGCAACUUCUCUGAUCAUCAGUCUCUUCAUCCAUAAAAUAGCAUUGCCUAUCUGAGAGUUAAAUAUCAAAGAAGAUUAAUAUAAAAGGCUUUGCAAAAAGUUAAGCUCCACUGAAACAUAAAGCAUGUUUAUUGUGUUGUAAGUUUACAAAUAUAACUUUACUGAUUGACUUGAAUAGAGGCACAAACAGCAUCCCUUCAACAACAUUUUCAGAAUAAAACAAUGAUAUUUCUAGACAAUAGUGUCUCAAAUAAAAAACCAAAGUUUUAUUCAAAUAACUUGCAAUUAUGAUAGAUAUUUUUCAAUUUUAUUUAGUAGCCAGGAAUUUGAAUGUUAAUUACUUUAUCGUGAACUUAUUUCUUCCAUGAAGAAGCUAAUUGAAAAAUUACCAAAUUCUGUAUUUUUGUAAACAUAACAAAAAGAUACAUUGAGUAAAUAUUUUAAAUCUACUCAAGUUACUUGAAGAUUUUUCUUUAUGAGAGGUUACAAAAAUUAAACAAAUUCACAUUUCUAACAAAGAACAACAUAUUCUCUCUACAAAUAUAUACAUUGUAUAAUGUAAUACUAAGUCUAAAAAGAUUUGCAAGGCAUGGUGGCUCACACCUGUAAUCCCAGCACUUUGGGAGGGCAAGGUAGGAGGAUUGCUUGAGGCCAGGAGUUCAAGACCAGCCUGGGAAACACAACGAGACCCUGUAUCUGCCAAAAAAAAAAAAAAAAUUGACCAGCCAUAAUGGCAAUGGCCUGGGGUUCCAGCUACUCAGGAGGCUGAGGUGGGAGGAUUGCUUGAACCCCAGAGUUUGAGGCUGCAGUGAGCUAUGAUCACGCCACUGCACUCCAGCGUGGAAAAAACAGUAAGACCCUGUCUCA